Molecule: ribosomal RNA, 300 nt
Filed under: Triticum aestivum (bread wheat)
Lineage: Eukaryota; Viridiplantae; Streptophyta; Magnoliopsida; Poales; Poaceae
Description: partial small subunit ribosomal RNA
Source: RNAcentral
AUGAGAUAUUUGUGGCUUCCCCUUUCGGUUUCAAGGCUUAAGAGGAUUCACUUUCAGUUCUUAGAAGAUAAAGUUGCGGGGAAACUACCACCUUGGGUUGCCAAACAUGUGGCCGUGCCAGGCCGGGUUGUCUUGGUCAAGGCAGUGCUUACCGCCAUUGUUAUAUAUCAUAUCACGCCCCUGGAAUUGCCGGUGGAAGUGAGGAAGAAGAUUGAUAGCUUGCGGCGUGCCUAUCUUUGGGCGGGUUGCGAUAAAGUGACCGGCGGAAAAUGUAAGGUCAACUGGGAUCUCGUCUGCAAG